This 601-nucleotide long non-coding RNA is filed under the name Nicotiana benthamiana. RNAcentral describes it as "long non-coding RNA (NBEN_LNC003315)". Lineage: Eukaryota; Viridiplantae; Streptophyta; Magnoliopsida; Solanales; Solanaceae. The record is from RNAcentral.
AAAUUUAUUCUGGGUGAUAAGGUUAGACAAUUUACAAGGCAUUUAAUUUUUCUAUUCUUAAUUUAUCAUUUUUUAAUUAUUUUAUUACUGAUGGAUUUGUUAAUUGUUUGCUUUUUUAUGAAGCAUAUUGAUAUUGCGCUAUAUAUCAGAGAAAGAAGAAAUGCUACCACCCUCGUGAUCAUUUUAAAUGCACAACUACUGACAUUCUUUUUUAUAACUACAUGGCCCGUGUGCAUAAGGAUUUAGUGAAGAUGCUAGUGAUGAUUUUUGGUGUGCUAUUGAUGACUCGUUGUUUCUAACACCAUAUGUGUGGGGGAACAGCCGCAGAUGUGGGAUUGCUUGGACUGAGGUUGAUAAAAUCUUUUCCCAUGUCGCCUUCCUUCAGAAGAUGACAAAGCUGUGACACAUUUUCUGUUGGGAGUUUUGGACUUGAAUCUAAAAAAGAUUUAUGUAUAUGAUUCCAUAUACAAUGAGCCAUAUGAAGCUGGAAUCAACCAUAUGGAAAUGUAUACGCGCAUUAUCCCCCACAUGCUUAUUGAUGUAUAUGAUUCCAUAUACAGUGAGCCGUAUGAAGCUGGAAUGAACCAUAUGGAAAUGUAUG